RNAcentral lists this long non-coding RNA (565 nucleotides) under Crocodylus porosus (Australian saltwater crocodile). Its description in RNAcentral is "lncRNA (ENSCPRG00005012881.1)". The record is from RNAcentral. Lineage: Eukaryota; Metazoa; Chordata; Crocodylia; Crocodylidae.
UUUCAGAACUGAUCAUCUACUAAAGACUCCCAGAAUGGAUUCUCACUUUUCUCCUGUGUCCUGAGCUUGGCAAUAUUUUGAAGGACCUCAGGAUACAUUUCACUGAACAUAGCUCCUGCCACUGCCAGAUGUUUAGGUCUGCCAGAAGACAGCACAAACACUCUCUUCUAUGGGCUUCAGGAAUAUUUUCCAUGAUUCUGACAGCAGAGACUCUCCUAUGAGAGGAGCAGCAGAAAGACACCUAAUCCCUGGAGGCUGACUUCUGUAACUUCAAAAUCAAAAUCAUGCACUUGAUGCUGGUAUAAAUGAAAGCAAAGACCCCCCAUAUUGUAUGUGAAAUCUCUAAUACCAUGGCUCUAGUGUAAUGCCUUAAACAAUCAAGCUAAAUAUGUCAGGGGACUUUUUAAUACGCUGCACUGAUGAAGCAAGAGUAUUAAAUUUAUUCAACCAUGAAGAAGACUUUGAUUAUCAUACACCUCAGCUGCGCUGGCAUGGUGGACAACUGUGAGGAAGCAGGCUGAACGUCACAUCCUGAAGACCUGAGUAAGACUGUUACACAUCUACA